Molecule: ribosomal RNA, 483 nt
Filed under: uncultured bacterium
Lineage: Bacteria
Description: partial 16S ribosomal RNA
Rfam family: Bacterial small subunit ribosomal RNA
Source: RNAcentral
AUUGAAUGCUGGCGGCAGGCCUAACACAUGCAAGUCGAGCGGAUGAAGGGAGCUUGCUCCUGGAUUCAGCGGCGGACGGGUGAGUAAUGCCUAGGAAUCUGCCUGGUAGUGGGGGAUAACGUCCGGAAACGGGCGCUAAUACCGCAUACGUCCUGAGGGAGAAAGUGGGGGAUCUUCGGACCUCACGCUAUCAGAUGAGCCUAGGUCGGAUUAGCUAGUUGGUGGGGUAAAGGCCUACCAAGGCGACGAUCCGUAACUGGUCUGAGAGGAUGAUCAGUCACACUGGAACUGAGACACGGUCCAGACUCCUACGGGAGGCAGCAGUGGGGAAUAUUGGACAAUGGGCGAAAGCCUGAUCCAGCCAUGCCGCGUGUGUGAAGAAGGUCUUCGGAUUGUAAAGCAAUUUAAGUUGGGAGGAAGGGCAGUAAGUUAAGACCUUGCUGUUUUGACGUGACCAACAGAAGAAGCACCGGCUAACUUCGU